GAUGAACGCUGGCGGCGUGCUUAACACAUGCAAGUCGAACGAAGCGCUUGGAUGGAAUUCUUCGGAAGGAAGCUCAAGUGACUGAGUGGCGGACGGGUGAGUAACGCGUGGGUAACCUGCCUCAUACAGGGGGAUAACAGUUAGAAAUGACUGCUAAUACCGCAUAAGCACACGUGAUCGCAUGAUCGAGUGUGAAAAACUCCGGUGGUAUGAGAUGGACCCGCGUCUGAUUAGCUAGUUGGUGGGGUAAUGGCCCACCAAGGCGACGAUCAGUAGCCGGCCUGAGAGGGUGAACGGCCACAUUGGGACUGAGACACGGCCCAAACUCCUACGGGAGGCAGCAGUGGGGAAUAUUGCACAAUGGGGGAAACCCUGAUGCAGCGACGCCGCGUGAAGGAUGAAGUAUUUCGGUAUGUAAACUUCUAUCAGCAGGGAAGAAAAUGACGG
This 447-nucleotide ribosomal RNA is filed under the name uncultured bacterium. RNAcentral describes it as "bacterial SSU rRNA". It matches the Rfam family "Bacterial small subunit ribosomal RNA", at positions 28 to 457 of the family's 1533-position model. The record is from RNAcentral.